GACCAAAAAUUGCAGUCGCCGGUC
This 24-nucleotide non-coding RNA is filed under the name Arabidopsis thaliana (thale cress). Lineage: Eukaryota; Viridiplantae; Streptophyta; Magnoliopsida; Brassicales; Brassicaceae. The record is from RNAcentral.